AUUGAACGCUGGCGGAAUGCUUUACACAUGCAAGUCGAACGAUGAAGCCUAGCUUGCUAGGUCGAUUAGUGGCGAACGGGUGAGUAGUAUAUCGGAACGUAUCCAAUAAUGGGGGAUGACUAGUCGAAAGAUUGGCUAAUACCGCAUACGUCCUACGGGAGAAAGCUGGGGACCGUAAGACCUGGCGUUAAUGGAGCGGCCGAUAUCUGAUUAGCUAGUUGGUGAGGUAAAGGCUCACCAAGGCGACGAUCAGUAGCUGGUCUGAGAGGACGACCAGCCACACUGGAACUGAGACACGGUCCAGACUCCUACGGGAGGCAGCAGUGGGGAAUUUUGGACAAUGGGCGAAAGCCUGAUCCAGCCAUUCCGCGUGAGUGAAGAAGGCCUUCGGGUUGUAAAGCUCUUUCGCAAGGGAAGAACACUUACUUAAUAACACUAAGUGAGGUUGACGGUACCUUGAUAAGAAGCACCGGCUAACUACGUGCCAGCCGCCGCGGUAA
Molecule: ribosomal RNA, 500 nt
Filed under: uncultured bacterium
Lineage: Bacteria
Description: partial 16S ribosomal RNA
Rfam family: Bacterial small subunit ribosomal RNA
Source: RNAcentral